RNAcentral lists this long non-coding RNA (227 nucleotides) under Vigna radiata. RNAcentral's name for it is "long non-coding RNA (VRAD_LNC008257)". Lineage: Eukaryota; Viridiplantae; Streptophyta; Magnoliopsida; Fabales; Fabaceae. The record is from RNAcentral.
UCAUAUAUCUACUCUUCUUAUUUACUUCACUUAUUUAUCUAAUUGCCAUGCACACUUUCUUAUUUACCCUUAACCCAAUCCCUUGGUGAAACGAGCCUAUUAUUAAUUAUCGACUUGCUAUCCCUGGCCUCCCCUAGUAACCAAUAAUGUAAUGCGAUCGAAAGCAACUACAAUUGAUCGUCCUACCCCUAUCCCUAGGUGAUAUUGGCAUAAUCAAGGAAUUUCCC